Molecule: ribosomal RNA, 556 nt
Filed under: Alternaria sp. YLM6
Lineage: Eukaryota; Fungi; Ascomycota; Dothideomycetes; Pleosporales; Pleosporaceae
Description: eukaryotic LSU rRNA
Rfam family: 5.8S ribosomal RNA (bases 215-368)
Source: RNAcentral
AAAAAAUCGUAACAAGGUCUCCGUAGGUGAACCUGCGGAGGGAUCAUUACACAAAUAUGAAGGCGGGCUGGAACCUCUCGGGGUUACAGCCUUGCUGAAUUAUUCACCCUUGUCUUUUGCGUACUUCUUGUUUCCUUGGUGGGUUCGCCCACCACUAGGACAAACAUAAACCUUUUGUAAUUGCAAUCAGCGUCAGUAACAAAUUAAUAAUUACAACUUUCAACAACGGAUCUCUUGGUUCUGGCAUCGAUGAAGAACGCAGCGAAAUGCGAUAAGUAGUGUGAAUUGCAGAAUUCAGUGAAUCAUCGAAUCUUUGAACGCACAUUGCGCCCUUUGGUAUUCCAAAGGGCAUGCCUGUUCGAGCGUCAUUUGUACCCUCAAGCUUUGCUUGGUGUUGGGCGUCUUGUCUCUAGCUUUGCUGGAGACUCGCCUUAAAGUAAUUGGCAGCCGGCCUACUGGUUUCGGAGCGCAGCACAAGUCGCACUCUCUAUCAGCAAAGGUCUAGCAUCCAUUAAGCCUUUUUUCAACUUUGACCUCGAUCAGUAGAUCCCAAUCC